CUACGGGGGGCUGCAGUGGGGAAUAUUGGACAAUGGGGGAAACCCUGAUCCAGCAAUGCCGCGUGUGUGAAGAAGGCCUGCGGGUUGUAAAGCACUUUCGGUUGGGAGGACUGCUUCUAGCACUAAUAUUGUUGGAAGUUGACGUUACCUUCAGAAGAAGCACCGGCUAACUCCGUGCCAGCAGCCGCGGUAAUACGGAGGGUGCAAGCUUUAAUCGGAAUUACUGGGCGUAAAGCGCGCGUAGGCGGCUAGAUCAGUCGGGUGUGAAAGCCCCGGGCUUAACCUGGGAACUGCCUCCGAUACUGUCUAGCUUGAGUACAGGAGAGGAGAGUGGAAUUCCACAUGUAGCGGUGAAAUGCGUAGAUAUGUGGAGGAACACCAAUGGCGAAGGCAGCUCUCUGGCCUGAUACUGACGCUGAGGUGCGAAAGCGUGGGGAGCAAACAGGAUUAGAUACCCUCGUAGUC
This 465-nucleotide ribosomal RNA is filed under the name uncultured bacterium. RNAcentral's name for it is "partial 16S ribosomal RNA". It matches the Rfam family "Bacterial small subunit ribosomal RNA", at positions 339 to 795 of the family's 1533-position model. The record is from RNAcentral.